CCUACGGGAGGCAGCAGUGGGGAAUUUUGGACAAUGGGCGAAAGUCUGAUCCAGCAAUGCCGCGUGAGUGAAGAAGGCCUUCGGGUUGUAAAGCUCUUUUGUCAGGGAAGAAACGGUGUGGGCUAAUAUCCUGCACUAAUGACGGUACCUGAAGAAUAAGCACCGGCUAACUACGUGCCAGCAGCCGCGGUAAUACGUAGGGUGCAAGCGUUAAUCGGAAUUACUGGGCGUAAAGCGUGCGCAGGCGGUUUUGUAAGUCUGUCGUGAAAUCCCCGGGCUCAACCUGGGAAUUGCGAUGGAGACUGCAAGGCUAGAAUCUGGCAGAGGGGGGUAGAAUUCCACGUGUAGCAGUGAAAUGCGUAGAGAUGUGGAGGAACACCGAUGGCGAAGGCAGCCCCCUGGGUCAAGAUUGACGCUCAUGCACGAAAGCGUGGGGAGCAAACAGGAUUAGAUACCCUGGUAGUCCACGCCCUAAACGAUGUCUACUAGUUGUCGGGUUUUAAUUAACUUGGUAACGCAGCUAACGCGUGAAGUAGACCGCCUGGGGAGUACGGUCGCAAGNUUAAAACCGUCAAAGGAAUUGACCGGCUGAGACGNGCGACGACGACGACGAGGGAGGAGG
This 622-nucleotide ribosomal RNA is filed under the name uncultured bacterium. Its description in RNAcentral is "bacterial SSU rRNA". It matches the Rfam family "Bacterial small subunit ribosomal RNA", at positions 338 to 951 of the family's 1533-position model. The record is from RNAcentral.